Molecule: long non-coding RNA, 6021 nt
Organism: Passer domesticus (house sparrow)
Lineage: Eukaryota; Metazoa; Chordata; Aves; Passeriformes; Passeridae
Exons: 3
Source: RefSeq, a predicted model, not a curated record
AGGGGAAGGCGUCUGCGGGAUGGGGGCUCCGGCGCUGCCUGCGUCGGUCCCGCUCUCCGCCGUCUCACCUCGCUCGAUGUUGGCGAUAGCCCGCCGCAGAUGCUCUUCGGUCACCAGCUCGCCAAUAACCACCAGCAGAGUCACAGAACAACACAGCUGUCAUCGCUUAGACCAAGCACAUCAGCUGCGGGCGGCCUCAACUCACCUGUGUCCUGAAGCACCUCGGGCAAGCCAUCACCCUCACUGACCUGAUAAAUACCGGAGCAGACGUCACUCUGAUAUCAAAAUCAAAAUGGCCACAAGACUGGACCAUCGUGCCUACGCUGGAUCAACUGUUUUAGGAGAGAGUCCACAGCUUCGUGGUUUAAUAUUCCAGUGAGAUCUAAAGAAGAAAGACCAUCUGAUAAUCUUAGAGUGAGUUUUCCUAUCUCGUCAAUUGGGUAAAACUAUAACAACUUGCCCUAAAAUUAUUUCACAAUUGAUUAUCAAGGCUAGAUCUCAAAUACUUUCCCUUGCAAGAAAUGAUUUUGCAGAAAUCUUCCUACCUGUCACAUCCAUCUAUUUAGAAUGGUUAAUUCAAAAUUCAGAAGUCAUGCAAUUUACUUUGGAAAAUUUUGCAAGAAAAAUUUCAGUCAAUUGUCCCAAACAUGAGCUAUUAAGUUCAUCUUUAAAAUUAAUCCAUAAGCCUUUAAGAAGUCAUGCACCCCUCGAGGCAAUCACAUUUUUUACAGACGGUUCUGGAAAGUCUAAAAAGAUCGGUGAUUGCUUGGCAAAAUUCAGAGACGAAAAAAUGGGAAUCAGAUAUUGAGGAAGUAGAUGGUUCUGCACAGAUUACAGAGUUAGCAGCAGUUGUACGGGUCUUUUCAAAAUUCACAUUUCCUUUUAAUUUAAUAACGGAUUCAAUUUACGUUGCAAGUGUAGUAGAAAGAGUAGAAGGAUCUCUGCUAAAAGAAGUUGCUAAUGAUCAGUUAUACAGUUUGCUUAAAAAGUUAAUCCUACUUCUUUCCAUUCGACAAGAACCUUACUUUGUAAUGCACAUUCGCUCACAUUCUUCUCUUCCAAGUUUUUUUAGCAGAAGGCAAUGCCAUGGCUGAUUUAUUAGCCAUGCCAAUCCAGCACACACUUCCUAAUGUUAUUGAACAAGCCAGAAUGAGCCAUGCUUUUUAUCAUCAAAAUGCACCUGUUUUAGUAAGAAUGUUUAACAUCUCUCAGAAUCAGGCAAAAGCAAUUGUUCAGUCAUGUCCAGAUUGCCAGAAAUUAGCUAUACCACCAAUAGCAACAAGAAUUAACCCUCGAGGCUUAAAUAGCCUGCAAAUAUAGCAAAUGGAUAUCACUCAAUAUCAGUCAUUUGCAAGGUUCAAACAUAUACAUAUAUCAAUAGAUACCUUCUCAUGAGCAAUUUUUGCUUCUGCACAUCAAGGAGAAAAAAGUAGAGAUGUGAUUAAGCAUUUCUUACAAACAUUUGCAUCCCUAAGUAUUCCUCAAGAAGUCAAAACUAACAACAGACCAGCCUACAUUUCUAAUAAACUGCAGGAGUUUUUCAAAACUUGAGGUAUCAAACAUACCACAGGUAUUCCACAUUCUUCCACAGGCCAAUCCAUUUUAGAAAGAGCACACAAGUCAUUGAAAAUGAUCCUUAAAAGACAGAAAGGAAAGACAGAAGUGCUUUCUACAAUAGAGAAGCUGAAUAAAGCUAUAUAUGUUGUUAACUUCUUAAAUAAUUCUUUUAUGGAGCAGGUACCACCAAUUUUCAGACAUUUCAGCAAUAUCAGUCAAGCAAAGCUCAAGGAAAGACCACCAGUCUACAUCAAGGAUCCAGAGACAAGACAGAUUUCGAGACCCCAUCCUCUUAUAACUUAGGGCUGGGGGUUUGCAUGCAUUUCUACAAAUGCAAGUUUUCGAUAGAUCGCUGCAAAGAAUGUCAAGCCACAGGUACAGCCGAUCGAGAGCAGCAAACAGAACCAGAAGAAGAAUACACAAACAACUGAACGACAGCUAUAAGCAAAGACUGUUUUCUAAGUUUGCACUAGUUAAAAUUGUUUACAAAAAAGUUUUGCACUAAAAAAGUUCUAUAAUUAUUGUUGUUGUGAUAAAAAAGUUGUAACCUACCUCUAUGUAAAAUCAUAUAUAGCCAAAAAUUUGAAGCUUACCUGGAAAAACACUUCACCAAAGUUAAAAUAGAAGAUUAGAAACAAAAUUUAAAAAUUAUUGGCAUUUCAGUUUAUACUCCUUUCUCCUCUUUAUCUCUAAGUAUAUAGAAAAGGGUGACCUGUAUGAGUGUAGGUGUGCCCCCUAAUGACAGAGUGGCAAAGCUAGCCUUUGUCCCCCAAAAAAGGAAAGAAGCCCAGAAGUUUCUCUCAAGGAUUAGGUGAAAAGCCACCUCAUAGGACCCCAGAGGCUUCAGUAAAAACUUGGGGUCAUCUAAUUGGAUAGAAGCCAAAAAGUCCCGCCUGGCCCAUCAGGUAGAAAAGAGGAGAACAAAAGAACUAAGAGGCUUUUGUGAAGGUGUUUAUACCAGGGGCAGACCUCUGUACCUGGCUCGAGUUUUUCUGUUUGUUAUUUUGCCUUUUAUUAAACCUUUUUGUUUCUAACGCUGCAGCAGAAGCCAUCCUGCUCAUUAUUUGCCUCCAAAGGUAAUAGCUAAGCUAUCCUUGGGUAUGUUAGGUUCCCUUUUGAGGGUUCAUAAGACCUGGCCCGAGAAAAAGAACCUAGCACUGGGCAACCUCUGCCAGUGUUCAGUUACCCUCAGAGUGUAAAAGUGUUUCCUGAUGCAUGAUCAAAUCAAGAAUAUGCCACCAAUAUUCUAGCAAGUAAUACCCAUAAUAUUUUGUACCAAACCUGCUGUCUUCUCAGUGUGACCUAUUGUCACUCUCAGUACUCCCACUCCUCCUUACAUUCCUCAUUUCCUGUAGUCAGCAGCUCCACCAUCCCCAUAUGGUUCAUCCUGUACCUCCCAGAGUCCCCUCCUUGGGUUGCUCCUUUACAGCAAUUCAGCAGAGCAUGAAGCAGCAGUGCAGGCAUGGAGGGACAAUCAGCACUUUGAUCUGACCCCAGUAGAAAAGAUGUGUCAUCUGCAGCCACUGGCUGUGACAUGAUUAGUUAGGAGCCCUGCCUGUCCCUGCAAGAACCAGGAUGUGUGGGUUUUGUCCUGGUUCAGGGCAAAUUUGGGAGAUAACCCCCAAAGGGGCUCCUCUACAAAAGCAGAUCCAAUUGGCCCCUCCCCCCCAACCGAUUCGGGAGAAAAUAUCUCCUUGGAGAAAAAGUGGAAAGAAACCUGUUUAUUAAACAAUAGAACCAAAACAAUAUUAAACAAUAAAACCUCUUGCUGCUCCAAAAAAGAGAUGACAGAACAGUCCCCUCUCCAGGCUGCAGCUUGGCUCACUCAGUCUCUUAUCAGUCCUUCCGGUGCUGGAAAUGCUACGGCCCAGGCCCGGCCCGGCGGCCACAGGUGGAGCUGCCGGUACUCUUCUGGGUGUUCAGUCCAGAGCAGGUUUGAACGGGUCCAAGAAAAAGAAAAAACACAGUCCAGGGAACUUCUUUACCUCAGCUAGCUAAAACUAACUAAAAGCAAAAAAACAGCUCUGUCCUGCUGUCUGUCCAUCCACAGACAACACAGUCCAGGAGCAGGAAUGUGGAGGAGUGAGUGCAGUCUGAAAACAAACUGUGUGCUUCUUCCCUCCCCUCUUCACUCUCUGGAAGAGAGUCUUAAAGGUGUAAAAUUUAUUAUUCAGUAUAAACAGAACAAGACGAUUGGGGAUAAAAGCAUCAUAUAGUCAACCAAGGACAGGUUUAUAAAGAUGAUUCCUCUUGCCUCCCGCAUAUUUUUAGACAGGAAGGCUAUAGCAGCAUGUUCCCUGUAGCCAUGAUAUUUUCUGGAAAAUCCUUUUGCCAGGAUUUUUGUCCUGAGAAGCUGAGGAGCCUCAGGAAAGAAAUGCAAAACUAUAAUUUUCUGCUCCUGUGGAAUGCAACAGGUGCAUCUGUGAUUGGUGCAUGUUGGUUGUUUCUAAUUAGUGGCCAAUCUCAGUCAGCUGGCUCAGACUCUCUGGGAGUCAUGAGCUUUUGUUAUCAUUCCUCUCCUGUCUUUUCUAGCCUUCUGAUGGAUCUUUUCUCUCUAUUCCUUUUAGUAUAGUUUUAGUAUAACAUUUUAAUAUAAUAUAUAUCAUAAUAUAAUAAAUCAGCCUUCUGAAACAUGGAGUCAAGAUUCUUGUCUCUUCCCCUCGUCCUGGCACCCACAAACACAACCAUAGUUCCCUUCUGUCACAGAACAACUUAUCUGUUCUGUCUAUCAGCUGGUGCCAUAGCUCAGUACAUCUUCGCCCUCACGUCAAUCUGCUAAUUGGUGAGAUAACCCAGACCAGAAAUCUAUUCAGUAGUGAGUUAUCUUUGGUGCCGUGGCGGUGGCAUUCCCAUCUGACAAUAAACAUCUCACCUUGAGAGCAGAUUGAAGGGAUAUAAGCCUUGAAUUUCUGACUGACAGACAAUUUACAAACUUGUCCUGGGUUGACUAUAUGAUGCUUUUAUCUCCAAUUGUCUGUUCUGUUUAUGGUGAAUAAUAAGUUUUGCACCUUUAAGACUUGUUCCAGAGAGUGAAGAGGGGAGGGAAGAAGCGCGCAGUUUGUUUGCAGACACUGCACUCACUCCUCCACAUUCCUCCUCCUGGACUGUGUUGUCUGCGGAUCGACAGACAGUAGGACAGAGCUCUCCUUUGUUUUAGUUAGUUUUAGAUAGCUGAGGCAAAGAAGUUCCCUGGACUGUGGUGUUUUUUUCCCUUUUCUUUGGACCUGCUUAAACCUGCUCUGGACUGAACACCCAGAAGAGCACCGGCAGCUUGCCCCUAUGGCCCACCGGGCCAGGCCUGGGCCACAGCAUUUCCAGCAUCGGAGGGACUGAUAACAGACUGAGUGAGCCAAGCUGCAACCCAGGGAGGGGACUUUUCUGAGUUUGUCAUCUCUUUUGGAGCAGCAAGAGGUUUUAUUGUUUAAUAUUAUUUAGGUUUUAUUGUUUAAUAAACAGUUUUUUACACUUUUCUCCAAGGAGGUUUUUUUUCCCAAACCGGUUGGGGGAGGGCCCAAUUGAAUCUGCUUUUCUAGAGGAAUCCCUUUGGGGGUUCUCUCCCAAAUUUGCCCUGAACCAGGACAAAACUAUAAAAGCUACACCAAACUUUCACAAAGUAGAAAUCUUCUGCACGUUUCUUGAAGUGUGUAAGAGCGUCUCUCCUCAAAAACAGGGAUGCCUGUUUUGAGAUACUUUCCUGGGAAUUGAGAGAAAGGAAAGUUGUGUGCUCUAUCAUCAAUUUGGUGGUAAAUUACACACAUUCCUUAAAUCUAUACUACUUCUUUGCUAGCUGUAGCCAUCGUCGCAAUAUUCAAAGGGAUGGGACCAUGAUCAGACUAAGAACGAUUUAUUGCUUAGAUAAGAUACAUCUCAAAGGCCAUGAGAUUUAUAAGACAGCAAGCAGUCGGCCAUAGUCUAAGAUGGUCACAGGUUCUUCGUUACAAGGCAAUAUAUAACUUCAUGACCCAAUAGGGUGAUUUCACAGAGUUUAUUUUGCUUUUCUGACCUAUCACCUUUACUUCUUUCUACUGCAAUGUGGAUACUUUUGCCCAAUAAGGUCUUAUUUCUCUUAUAACAUCUAAACCCUUAGCUUAUUCAAUACAAUCACAUUACUACACUAUAAAACCCUUCAUCAUCUUAUCUAUACAGUUUCUUACUUACUUAAGGCAUAUUCUUACUUUUAACUAUAGAAACAUAAGUUGAUGAUUUCUCUGUUUAAUGUCUGUGUGCCUUGCUUUCACAUCAAUCUAGGCUUCUUCUAAGGCUGUAAAUCAAACCACCUUGUGUCUGUGAAGAUUUCUAUCUUUCCAAUUCCCACCGCUAGCUGUAAUAUAGGUACCUUUAUUGUGCACUGUUUAUGUAUCUACUAGUAGUUCUUUUGUUUAUCCUAUGUAGUAAGUAGUCUGUUUAAAGGCUUUUGUCUGUUAAUCUUGUGUCUAUUCAAUAAAUAAUUAAUUUUAUCAUAGA